Molecule: long non-coding RNA, 2886 nt
Filed under: Citrus maxima (pomelo)
Lineage: Eukaryota; Viridiplantae; Streptophyta; Magnoliopsida; Sapindales; Rutaceae
Description: long non-coding RNA (CMAX_LNC000313)
Source: RNAcentral
ACAAUUUUAAAUUACCAAUUAACCUUCUUUUUUUUUAGUGCAAUUGGUAAUUUGUAAAUUUUUUAUUUUAAAAAUCAAAUAAUACAUACAACACAUUAAUUAUUUUGGAUUAAUUUCAUCAGAGCUUGUAAAUGAAACCCAUAAACAAAGGCAUCUCAAACUUUGUAAUUACAAAAAAAAAAAAAAAAAAAAAAGCGUAAAGAACAGAGUUGGCGGGUGCACGCCAUACGCGAAUUAAUUUUCACCAUCAUCUUCCACCAUAUGUCGUGAGCAAUGGAGGCUUUCCCUCCCCAUUACCAUUACAAAAAAAGUGUCGAAAAAGGUGUCGACCUGUGUCACACCCCCAUCCAAGAAGUGAGCUAAAAAUUAUGAAACUCCAAAGCACUGUCUAAGCAUAGCACACAGACUACUUCCAGCAUCUCCAUUAACAAAAUACUUGAAAAAAGCAAGGCAUGAGCUAUUAGCCCAUACACUUUUAAGCAUAAUGAUUCUAAUCACAUCUCAUUUAACCACGAGGCCAUGAAAACAUACUCAAAGAUUCCAAAAGAAAAUUGACAUUUAAGCACAUAAGAAUCAAUCUUAAGAAUCCAUCAAUUUUCAAAUCAAGCGAAAAAAAGUCAAUCGCUGAUCUAUAAGACCAAACUUCAAAGUCUAUAAUUUCAAUGAUCAAAUAACAAAUGAUGUCCAAAUAAAAUUCAUGGAAAUCUAUAGAAACCUUUGGCAUUAUUUGAGACCUUGUAAUAAGGACAGGCCUUGUUCAAUAAUCCCUUUAAAUUAUUGGGUUGGUUCAAUUACUAUACAAUUUUGCAGAUAUAAUCUAGACAUGUAAAGCACCUAGAAUAUAACAUCUUAGCUCAAAUUAGUUACAUUUAUUACUAUUUCUAUGACCCAAUAUUGAGUUACAGAAAACUGGUUUAUUGACAGGAAACACCAACAACCUAAGCUUGUGAUUUUCUUUAAAAAUUCAAUACUAUUCAGAAUAUUAUGAAAACUUCCAGAAUAUUAUUAGACACAACAUAUAAAAUUUUCAAGCCAUUUGGACAACUCUUUAAUAGGUUCUCACAGGAUUGAACUAAACAAAUCAAAACUGCCUUUUUAAUUCACACAAAUAAAGCUGAGCUUUGGUGAUUUAUUAAAAUUGAAAUACUCAGUAUGUUGGGAUGGAAAUUCCCAGAACAUAAUUACACAUAUAACUUGAUAACAUAUUAAAAGUUCAAGACAUUCUGAUAUCAUUAAGCUAAUGUUUCAUAAGAUCAAACACAAGUGAAUAGUUCUGCCAAGGGGUUUACGGCUAAAGCAGUGGAGUUUAAAAAAUCAUAAAAAACAAAAAAGUACCAGAAGUUCAAUUACCAUGGAACUUUCAACAUUUAAAAUAGACAUAUUGAAGUUUAAUAUCUCAAAAUUUCAGCUCAUGUUGACCCCAUUAGAUUAUUCGUUUAUAACACCAAACAUGGUACAUAUACAGUUUCUGAUAAAUUCCAACAGCAACUGACCAAUUUGACAAAUCCAUUAAAAAUCAACUAUUAGUUCAAUUCAUUACAAAAUGUCCAGAAUCGAAAUAUACAAUUCAGCUUUUAUUACUCAAAAUUUGAAUCUAAUCAAGCAUCAUUUAGUCAUAUUUUCAAACAAUCAAAGUUAUGAUAAACUAUUUAUCAUCUUUUCAGUUCAAUAAUCAAUUUUCUGGCAAAAUUAGACAUCCAAAACCAACAACAACCUUCCUUUUCAAUAUUGAAGUAACAAAACAUCAAUUGCACAAAGUUACCUACCUAAAUCACAAGCUUUAACUUCCUAGCCUCUUAAUAAAGCUUUCUGACACUCAAGUAUUGACCUCGGCCUUGACAUUACCAAAAAGCCUACCCAAAAUUUAAAAAAAAAUGAUAAUCAAUCACACUUCCAUUAAACAAAGUCAUGAGAGAUUAUUUGAAAAUUGAGGUGUUUUUUACCUCUUAACGAAUAGCUCAACGCCCAACUUCCAAUCUGUAGCACUACAUAAUUGAAACAUACGACCACCGAUCAACAAAUAACACAAAAAAUUGCUAACAGUUUCAAUUAAAAAUAAAAGCUGGUGAUUAUAUAGCGUUAAAUCAUCAAGCAACAGUAUAUGACAGUGAGUCUCUAGAAACAUCAAUAAAAGUUUCUGAAAAACAGCAAAAAAAAAAACAACUUAAAAGUAAUAUAAUGAAUAUCAACACAGAUAAAUAAGAUUGGUCAAAAAAUUAAAAAUAAAAGAAAAAGAAGCUGAAUGGAUAAAUCUCUACCAAAUUUGUGAGUACCCAUCUUUAGUAUUCCGAACAAUGAGUGCGGAGCUCAAAACAAACAAACAAGAAAAAAUUAGUAUAUCAAGAGAAAAAUAACACCUAAUAAAAAACCAAUCCUCAAAAAAUUAACUAAAAAAAAUUAACUUGCUUUGACGGUUUACGCUGGUGGCUUCACGAAGCUCACGCGGCAACGAUUUCGGCCAAAGCGAAAUCGUAUAGAUAACGGUGCGACAGAAAUAAUGGUAGAUGAUUCCGAUUGGUUGAUUGGUGUGAGAGAGACAAUGGAUUUGAUUUUAGGCGAUGAGUCCAGAAAUCGGAUGAGAGAAAUAAUGGAUUUCAAAGAGGGAAGAAAUUUUAGGGAUUUUCCUUUUGGGAAAGCGAAGAAAUCAGAUUGGUGAGAGAGAGGAGAAAAAAAGAAUGAGAGAAAUUUAGGGAUUUCUCAAGUUGAGAACCGGCAUCUCAAGCUGCCUUUCUUUCUCUAUUUUAAUUGAAUAUAAAAUAUCAACAGUUAGAUUCAUUUGAUUUCUAUUUUCGGUAUGCUGCUGGGCCUUGGUACCCGUCAUCGCAGCUUUAGCCUUCAUACAAGUGAUAAUAUAUAAGAACUUGUACUAGCGAAUUUACAGACAUA